UUGCUGUUGGAUGAUGAUAAAAAUGAGUGAUCCAUCGACUGAAAACUACAGCUGAUGAGUUCAUACAAUCUGACAACAGCAU
Molecule: small nucleolar RNA, 82 nt
Organism: Trichomycterus rosablanca
Lineage: Eukaryota; Metazoa; Chordata; Actinopteri; Siluriformes; Trichomycteridae
Product: small nucleolar RNA SNORD71
Exons: 1
Source: RefSeq, a predicted model, not a curated record